ACACAUUAUUAUUAGUGAGAAUUCUGGCAUUUAAAAGUUCGUUAAGGCACAAAUUCUUAAAUCUAAACGCAGGUCACAGGAAGGUCAAAAGGUCAUUACAGGUCACAGGAAGGUCAAAUAUGGCAAAAAAGGUCAUUACAGGUCACAGGAAGGUCAAAUAUGUCCAAAAAAGGUCAUUACAGGUCAAAAAAUGAGGCAAACAAGGUCAUUACAGGUCAAUUGAAGGUCAAAUAUGUCAAAAAAGGUCAUUACAGGUCAAAAUUGUGACAAAGAAGGUCAUUACAGGUCAAUUGAAGGUCAGGAGGUCAAGUUUAAGGUCAAUU
Portunus trituberculatus (swimming crab) is the source of this 323-nucleotide long non-coding RNA. RefSeq lists it as uncharacterized. NCBI's taxonomy places the organism in Eukaryota, Metazoa, Arthropoda, Malacostraca, Decapoda, Portunidae. The transcript is spliced from 3 exons. The record is from RefSeq and is a predicted model, not a curated record.